RNAcentral lists this ribosomal RNA (333 nucleotides) under bacterium ocnta364lb309onp9.8. RNAcentral describes it as "bacterial SSU rRNA". It matches the Rfam family "Bacterial small subunit ribosomal RNA", at positions 50 to 381 of the family's 1533-position model. The record is from RNAcentral.
UACACAUGCAGUCGAACGGUAGCACAGAGGAGCUUGCUCUNUUGGGUGACGAGUGGNGGACGGGUGAGUAAUGUCUGGGAACUGCCCGAUGGAGGGGGAUAACUACUGGAAACGGUAGCUAAUACCGCAUAACGUCGCAAGACAAAGAGGGGGACCUUCGGGCCUCUUGCCAUCGGAUGUGCCCAGAUGGGAUUAGCUAGUAGGUGGGGUAACGGCUCACCUAGGCGACGAUCCCUAGCUGGUCUGAGAGGAUGACCAGCCACACUGGAACUGAGACACGGUCCAGACUCCUACGGGAGGCAGCAGUGGGGAAUAUUGCACAAUGGGCGCAAG